Molecule: ribosomal RNA, 683 nt
Filed under: Cladophialophora chaetospira
Lineage: Eukaryota; Fungi; Ascomycota; Eurotiomycetes; Chaetothyriales; Herpotrichiellaceae
Description: partial large subunit ribosomal RNA
Rfam family: Eukaryotic large subunit ribosomal RNA
Source: RNAcentral
ACCUCAGUAACGGCGAGUGAAGCGGUAAUAGCUCAAAUUUGAAAUCUGGCCUCUCGGGGUCCGAGUUGUAAUUUGUAGAGGAUGUUUUGGGUACCGCCCCGGUCUAAAUUUCUUGGAACAGAAUGUCAAAGAGGGUGAGAAUCCCGUCUUGGACCGGCGGUAGGGCCUGUGUAAAACUCCUUCGACGAGUCGAGUUGUUUGGGAAUGCAGCUCAAAAUGGGUGGUAAAUUUCAUCUAAAGCUAAAUAUUGGCCAGAGACCGAUAGCGCACAAGUAGAGUGAUCGAAAGAUGAAAAGCACUUUGAAAAGAGAGUUAAACAGUAUGUGAAAUUGUUGAAAGGGAAGCGCUUGCAACCAGACUUGAGCGCGGCGGUUCCCCCGGUCUUUUGGCCGGGCUACUCCGUCGUGUCCAGGCCAACAUCGGUUCUGAGGGUCGGUCAAAGGCCUUGGGAAUGUAUCUACCCACGGGUAGACUUAUAGACCAGGGUGUCAUGCGGCCUCUCGGGACCGAGGAACGCGCUUCGGCUCGGAUGUUGGCGUAAUGGUUGUCAGCGACCCGUCUUGAAACACGGACCAAGGAGUCUAACAUCUAUGCGAGUGUUUGGGUGUCAAACCCGGAACGCGAAAUGAGAGUGAACGGAGGUAGGAAGCUUCGGCUGCACUAUCGACCGAUCCUGAAGUUUA